CCUACGGGUGACAGCAGUGAGGAAUAUUGGUCAAUGGGCGUAAGCCUGAACCAGCCAAGUCGCGUGAGGGAUGAAGGUUCUAUGGAUCGUAAACCUCUUUUAUAAGGGAAUAAAGUGCGGGACGUGUCCCGAUUUGUAUGUACCUUAUGAAUAAGGAUCGGCUAACUCCGUGCCAGCAGCCGCGGUAAUACGGAGGAUCCGAGCGUUAUCCGGAUUUAUUGGGUUUAAAGGGUGCGUAGGCGGCCUUUUAAGUCAGCGGUGAAAGUCUGUGGCUCAACCAUAGAAUUGCCGUUGAAACUGGGCGGCUUUAGUAUGUUUGAGCCAGGCGGCCUGCGUGUUGUAGCGGU
RNAcentral lists this ribosomal RNA (347 nucleotides) under uncultured bacterium. RNAcentral's name for it is "partial 16S ribosomal RNA". It matches the Rfam family "Bacterial small subunit ribosomal RNA", at positions 338 to 682 of the family's 1533-position model. The record is from RNAcentral.